RNAcentral lists this ribosomal RNA (301 nucleotides) under uncultured bacterium. RNAcentral describes it as "partial 16S ribosomal RNA". It matches the Rfam family "Bacterial small subunit ribosomal RNA", at positions 509 to 807 of the family's 1533-position model. The record is from RNAcentral.
CAGCAGCCGCGGUAAUACGAAGGGGGCAAGCGUUAAUCGGAAUUACUGGGCGUAAAGCGUGCGCAGGCGGUUAUAUAAGACAGAUGUGAAAUCCCCGGGCUCAACCUGGGAACUGCAUUUGUGACUGUAUAGCUAGAGUACGGCAGAGGGGGAUGGAAUUCCGCGUGUAGCAGUGAAAUGCGUAGAUAUGCGGAGGAACACCGAUGGCGAAGGCAAUCCCCUGGGCCUGUACUGACGCUCAUGCACGAAAGCGUGGGGAGCAAACAGGAUUAGAUACCCCUGUAGUCCCUGUCUCUUAUAC